GCGGCGGACGGGUAAGUAAUGCUUAGGAAUCUGCCUAUUAGUGGGGGACAACAUUUCGAAAGGAAUGCUAAUACCGCAUACGUCCUACGGGAGAAAGCAGGGGAUCUUCGGACCUUGCGCUAAUAGAUGAGCCUAAGUCGGAUUAGCUAGUUGGUGGGGUAAAGGCCUACCAAGGCGACGAUCUGUAGCGGGUCUGAGAGGAUGAUCCGCCACACUGGGACUGAGACACGGCCCAGACUCCUACGGGAGGCAGCAGUGGGGAAUAUUGGACAAUGGGCGCAAGCCUGAUCCAGCCAUGCCGCGUGUGUGAAGAAGGCCUUAUGGUUGUAAAGCACUUUAAGCGAGGAGGAGGCUACUUUAGAUAAUACCUAGAGAUAGUGGACGUUACUCGCAGAAUAAGCACCGGCUAACUCUGUGCCAGCAGCCGCGGUAAUACAGAGGGUGCAAGCGUUAAUCGGAUUUACUGGGCGUAAAGCGCGCGUAGGCGGCUAAUUAAGUCAAAUGUGAAAUCCCCGAGCUUAACUUGGGAAUUGCAUUCGAUACUGGUUAGCUAGAGUGUGGGAGAGGAUGGUAGAAUUCCAGGUGUAGCGGUGAAAUGCGUAGAGAUCUGGAGGAAUACCGAUGGCGAAGGCAGCCAUCUGGCCUAACACUGACGCUGAGGUGCGAAAGCAUGGGGAGCAAACAGGAUUAGAUACCCUGGUAGUCCAUGCCGUAAACGAUGUCUACUAGCCGUUGGGGCCUUUGAGGCUUUAGUGGCGCAGCUAACGCGAUAAGUAGACCGCCUGGGGAG
RNAcentral lists this ribosomal RNA (790 nucleotides) under Acinetobacter lactucae. Its description in RNAcentral is "bacterial SSU rRNA". It matches the Rfam family "Bacterial small subunit ribosomal RNA", at positions 95 to 880 of the family's 1533-position model. Lineage: Bacteria; Pseudomonadati; Pseudomonadota; Gammaproteobacteria; Moraxellales; Moraxellaceae. The record is from RNAcentral.